RNAcentral lists this long non-coding RNA (1076 nucleotides) under Olea europaea subsp. europaea. Lineage: Eukaryota; Viridiplantae; Streptophyta; Magnoliopsida; Lamiales; Oleaceae. The record is from RNAcentral.
UUCCAUAAUUUCACCAUGUAGUAUACACAAAAAUCACGUUAAUUUUGCUUUCAUUUCAAAAAUCAAUACUAACUUGUUGAAAUUAAAUCAUGUCCCUUAUGACACCAAAUCCAAAAAUAUCUACAUUUGAUCUAUAAACACUUUCAAUGGAAACUUUUUAUAAGCAAAAUAAACAUUUACUAUUUCCAAUUGUUGAAGAUCAUUGUGCUUGAAUGACUAAUCUUGUAACCGAUUCCUUUCUCCCUACAUCCAAAGUAUGGUUUGUUUGAACUCGAUACGCUUCCUCUCUUCUUCAUGCCUGCCAUCUUCCAUCUUUCAAAGUAAUAUAUCUUGUUGUAAGUUGAUCAAUCUUCUCACAAGCACCAGGAAAUUCCUCUUGCAAAAUGCUAAAAUCAGCCUAUCCAUCAUAUGGACUAGAGAUUCCAAGUUUGUGCAAAAUAGGACGAUGAAUACCAAGCCCAUACAAGCAACCACUCUUACAAGGACCUUGACUUGCUUUACAUAAAUCUUCAAUGUCAAUUUCAGGUAGAGAGGAAGCAUUUGAACUAUAUUUUUCAUGAAUUGCAUUGUCAUAUGUUUUCUACAAAACAACCAUAAGUCUCAAUCAAUAACUAUAUACAAUAUAUAAAUAAAAUUUAAUUUAUUUCUACUUACAUAGACAAUUCGUGAUUUAUUAUCUACAGAGUCUCCUUCUCCCUUGUUUCGCUGAUGUAUACAUUCGAAACAAUGUGAAGCAAUAGGUGGCUUACCUAAUUUCUCAUGCUGAAGACAAGCAAUUAAAUCAAUAUUUGGUUUGAAAAGAUUAUUGAUUGGCAUACACUUCAUGAAAUGAAACAUCAUCUCAUUCAUACUAGUCAAUCUCUGAUUUAAAAGAUAAUUCACUGUCAUUUUUAAUAUGAGGCUUGCAGAGGGUUUAUAAUGUAAACUGUUCUUGAUUGAAAUUGCAAGUUCUUGAUUGUAACAUAGCAAAAAAGUGUCCAUCAGAAAUCAGACCAAUGAAUUAGGGAAAAUAAAUCAAUGCUAACAAUACAAUCAGUGAAAAUUCCAUGUUAAAUGCUGAAGAAAAUUAGCGUAAC